CUGUGACCUAGGUGAGUACAAUGUCCAACGGUAUUCAGUUAAUUCACAUGUUUGAGGUGCAAACUAAUUUCUCCAUGGAGAGGAUAAGAUCCCUCAGAGUAAAAUGAGAUGUAUAGAUGUGAUAUUUCAGCUUCUCCCUAAUCAGUGUGACAAGUGCACACAGGGACACUCCAUUGCUGCUCCAUGGGCUAAGCACCACAGAAGCAGAAGAGCGCAGAAAAGUAGAUACCUGAAAGUUUAUAGACAUGUAUGAGUCUGAAACAGUAAGUACUUCAAGAAGAAAUUUCUCCUUUGAAGACAGGGACUUUUCAUCCCCCUGCAAAUGGCCCUGAAUGGCUGGCAAGAGCCAGCAGAACAAGGAUCUUUGACAGGUACAAGAAAGAGAAGAGAAUGGAGAAAAACAUCCCAGUAAAAGAGAGGGGAGACCUAAGGCUCAUGUUUUGGACCCUGAGAUGAGAAGGCAUAAAGUUCUUAUGGUCUCCCUGUUCUGUAUGUUACACAAUCACACAGCCACACAUGACAGAAAUGGAAAUGAACACUUUUAGAAAUAUUUUCAGGAGGUAAAUAAAUGUAUAAUAUCGAAAUAACA
RNAcentral lists this long non-coding RNA (589 nucleotides) under Parus major (Great Tit). RNAcentral's name for it is "lncRNA (ENSPMJG00000009422.1)". Lineage: Eukaryota; Metazoa; Chordata; Aves; Passeriformes; Paridae. The record is from RNAcentral.